GACGAACGCUGGCGGCGUGCUUAACACAUGCAAGUCGAACGGAGCGAAUGAAAGCUUGCUUUUAUGAGCUUAGUGGCAAACGGGUGAGUAACACGUAGGCAACCUGCCGACAGGAUGGGGACAACAUUCCGAAAGGAAUGCUAAUACCGAAUGAAGUCGAGGGAGGGCAUCCUCCUUCGAUGAAAGAUGGCCUCUAUUUAUAAGCUAUCACCUGUCGAUGGGCCUGCGUCUGAUUAGCUAGUUGGUGAGGUAACGGCUCACCAAGGCGACGAUCAGUAGCCGGUCUGAGAGGAUGAACGGCCACAUUGGGACUGAGACACGGCCCAGACUCCUACGGGAGGCAGCAGUGGGGAAUCUUCCGCAAUGGGCGCAAGCCUGACGGAGCAACGCCGCGUGAGUGAAGAAGGUCUUCGGAUCGUAAAGCUCUGUUGAUGGGGACGAACGUACGGAGUGCAAAUAGUGCUCUGUAAUGACGGACCUAUCGAGAAGCCC
This 492-nucleotide ribosomal RNA is filed under the name Selenomonas sp. oral taxon 479. RNAcentral's name for it is "bacterial SSU rRNA". It matches the Rfam family "Bacterial small subunit ribosomal RNA", at positions 28 to 493 of the family's 1533-position model. The record is from RNAcentral. Lineage: Bacteria; Bacillati; Bacillota; Negativicutes; Selenomonadales; Selenomonadaceae.